This 513-nucleotide ribosomal RNA is filed under the name uncultured bacterium. Its description in RNAcentral is "partial 16S ribosomal RNA". It matches the Rfam family "Bacterial small subunit ribosomal RNA", at positions 28 to 523 of the family's 1533-position model. The record is from RNAcentral.
GAUGAACGCUGGCGGCGUGCCUAAUACAUGCAAGUCGAGCGGACCAAAGAGAGCUUGCUCUCUGAGGUUAGCGGCGGACGGGUGAGUAACACGUGGGUAACCUGCCUGUAAGACGGGGAUAACUUCGGGAAACCGAAGCUAAUACCGGAUGAUAAAGAGAAACGCCUGUUUCUUUUUUGAAAGUCGGCCUUGUGCUGACGCUUACAGAUGGGCCCGCGGCGCAUUAGCUAGUUGGUGAGGUAACGGCUCACCAAGGCGACGAUGCGUAGCCGACCUGAGAGGGUGAUCGGCCACACUGGGACUGAGACACGGCCCAGACUCCUACGGGAGGCAGCAGUAGGGAAUCUUCGGCAAUGGACGAAAGUCUGACCGAGCAACGCCGCGUGAGCGAUGAGGGCCUUCGGGUCGUAAAGCUCUGUUGUCAGAGAAGAACAAGUACCGGAGUAACUGCCGGUACCUUGACGGUACCUGACCAGAAAGCCACGGCUAACUACGUGCCAGCCGCCGCGGUAA